CUAUACAUGACUCUGCGCAUAUCAAUAAGCGGAGGAAAAGAAACUAACAAGGAUUCCCCUAGUAACGGCGAGUGAAGCGGGAAGAGCUCAAAUUUGAAAUCUUAAAGGGUUUCCCUUUACGAAUUGUAGUUUAAAGAAGUGUUUUCUGUUGAGGUUUUGGUAAAAGCUCUUUGGAAUAGGACAUCAUAGAGGGUGAGAAUCCCGUAUUUGACCUUUACUUUCAACUUUGUGAUACACUUUCAAAGAGUCGGAUUGUUUGGGAAUGCAGUCCAAAAUGGGUGGUAAAUUUCAUCUAAAGCUAAAUAUUGGCGAGAGACCGAUAGCGAACAAGUACCGUGAGGGAAAGAUGAAAAGAACUUUGAAAAGAGAGUUAAACAGUACGUGAAAUUGUCAAAAGGGAAGCGUUUGACACCAGUGUUGUUUUUCUGAAAAUCAAUUAAAGAACUGUUUAUGCUAAGUUGUUUAGACUUUAUCAGCUACUGUUUAGUUUUGAGCUUUUCUUUAAUGCACUUUUCCAGUUAACAAGUCAACAUCAAUUUCUUUUGCUGUAAAAAAGCUUGAGGAAGGUGGCUUGAGAUUCGUCUUAAGUGUUUAUAGCCUCUUGCCUAUGCAGUCGGAGAGAUUGAGGUCUGCAGCGUAGAUCCUUCGGGGCUAAAUGCAUUUGUGCUAAGUUAUAGCAUUUUAUAGACAACUUGUUGACUAUGAUUUGUCUUGUAGCUUACUCGCUUAUGUUAUUUUACCUACGCUUAGGAUGUUGACAGCAGUAUAGACUGU
RNAcentral lists this ribosomal RNA (774 nucleotides) under uncultured Neocallimastigales. Its description in RNAcentral is "partial large subunit ribosomal RNA". It matches the Rfam family "Eukaryotic large subunit ribosomal RNA", at positions 22 to 629 of the family's 3401-position model. Lineage: Eukaryota; Fungi; Neocallimastigomycota; Neocallimastigomycetes; Neocallimastigales. The record is from RNAcentral.